AUUGAACGCUGGCGGCAUGCUUUACACAUGCAAGUCGAACGGUAACAGGCCGCAAGGUGCUGACGAGUGGCGCACGGGGGAGUAAUGCAUCGGAACGUGCCCAGUCGUGGGGGAUAACUACUCGAAAGAGUAGCUAAUACCGCAUACGAUCUAUGGAUGAAAGCGGGGGACCGUAAGGCCUCGCGCGAUUGGAGCGGCCGAUGUCAGAUUAGGUAGUUGGUGGGGUAAAGGCUCACCAAGCCAACGAUCUGUAGCUGGUCUGAGAGGACGACCAGCCACACUGGGACUGAGACACGGCCCAGACUCCUACGGGAGGCAGCAGUGGGGAAUUUUGGACAAUGGGCGCAAGCCUGAUCCAGCAAUGCCGCGUGCAGGAAGAAGGCCUUCGGGUUGUAAACUGCUUUUGUACGGAACGAAACGGCUCUGGUUAAUACCCGGGGCUAAUGACGGUACCGUAAGAAUAAGCACCGGCUAACUACGUG
RNAcentral lists this ribosomal RNA (482 nucleotides) under uncultured bacterium. RNAcentral describes it as "partial 16S ribosomal RNA". It matches the Rfam family "Bacterial small subunit ribosomal RNA", at positions 30 to 507 of the family's 1533-position model. The record is from RNAcentral.